Molecule: unclassified non-coding RNA, 252 nt
Filed under: Hevea brasiliensis (rubber tree)
Lineage: Eukaryota; Viridiplantae; Streptophyta; Magnoliopsida; Malpighiales; Euphorbiaceae
Source: RNAcentral
AUGACUUUCCACUUCUUAGACAAAAUGCUAGUUCUUGCUAAAUCUGCUGGCCAGCGCAGAAGACAAAGGAUAUGAUGUAAAAUGUGUUCAGGCAACUCAGAGAUCCUGUCCACAUUAACUGCUCUUUCAUCUGUGUUGUUGAUGAUCUCCAUCAUCUUUCCCUUUUUUCUAUCCUUUCUCUGUCUCCUGCCUUUUUGUUUCCUUUUCUUCAUUAUCUUCCCGUCUUUGGAAAAUCUAGAGACCCUGUUGUGA